This 1723-nucleotide ribosomal RNA is filed under the name Escherichia coli. RNAcentral describes it as "partial 23S ribosomal RNA". It matches the Rfam family "Bacterial large subunit ribosomal RNA", at positions 1 to 1767 of the family's 2925-position model. The record is from RNAcentral. Lineage: Bacteria; Pseudomonadati; Pseudomonadota; Gammaproteobacteria; Enterobacterales; Enterobacteriaceae.
GGUUAAGCGACUAAGCGUACACGGUGGAUGCCCUGGCAGUCAGAGGCGAUGAAGGACGUGCUAAUCUGCGAUAAGCGUCGGUAAGGUGAUAUGAACCGUUAUAACCGGCGAUUUCCGAAUGGGGAAACCCAGUGUGAUUCGUCACACUAUCAUUAACUGAAUCCAUAGGUUAAUGAGGCGAACCGGGGGAACUGAAACAUCUAAGUACCCCGAGGAAAAGAAAUCAACCGAGAUUCCCCCAGUAGCGGCGAGCGAACGGGGAGGAGCCCAGAGCCUGAAUCAGUGUGUGUGUUAGUGGAAGCGUCUGGAAAGGCGCGCGAUACAGGGUGACAGCCCCGUACACAAAAAUGCACAUACUGUGAGCUCGAUGAGUAGGGCGGGACACGUGGUAUCCUGUCUGAAUAUGGGGGGACCAUCCUCCAAGGCUAAAUACUCCUGACUGACCGAUAGUGAACCAGUACCGUGAGGGAAAGGCGAAAAGAACCCCGGCGAGGGGAGUGAAAAAGAACCUGAAACCGUGUACGUACAAGCAGUGGGAGCACGCUUCGGCGUGUGACUGCGUACCUUUUGUAUAAUGGGUCAGCGACUUAUAUUCUGUAGCAAGGUUAACCGAAUAGGGGAGCCGAAGGGAAACCGAGUCUUAACUGGGCGUUAAGUUGCAGGGUAUAGACCCGAAACCCGGUGAUCUAGCCAUGGGCAGGUUGAAGGUUGGGUAACACUAACUGGAGGACCGAACCGACUAAUGUUGAAAAAUUAGCGGAUGACUUGUGGCUGGGGGUGAAAGGCCAAUCAAACCGGGAGAUAGCUGGUUCUCCCCGAAAGCUAUUUAGGUAGCGCCUCGUGAAUUCAUCUCCGGGGGUAGAGCACUGUUUCGGCAAGGGGGUCAUCCCGACUUACCAACCCGAUGCAAACUGCGAAUACCGGAGAAUGUUAUCACGGGAGACACACGGCGGGUGCUAACGUCCGUCGUGAAGAGGGAAACAACCCAGACCGCCAGCUAAGGUCCCAAAGUCAUGGUUAAGUGGGAAACGAUGUGGGAAGGCCCAGACAGCCAGGAUGUUGGCUUAGAAGCAGCCAUCAUUUAAAGAAAGCGUAAUAGCUCACUGGUCGAGUCGGCCUGCGCGGAAGAUGUAACGGGGCUAAACCAUGCACCGAAGCUGCGGCAGCGACACUAUGUGUUGUUGGGUAGGGGAGCGUUCUGUAAGCCUGUGAAGGUGUACUGUGAGGUAUGCUGGAGGUAUCAGAAGUGCGAAUGCUGACAUAAGUAACGAUAAAGCGGGUGAAAAGCCCGCUCGCCGGAAGACCAAGGGUUCCUGUCCAACGUUAAUCGGGGCAGGGUGAGUCGACCCCUAAGGCGAGGCCGAAAGGCGUAGUCGAUGGGAAACAGGUUAAUAUUCCUGUACUUGGUGUUACUGCGAAGGGGGGACGGAGAAGGCUAUGUUGGCCGGGCGACGGUUGUCCCGGUUUAAGCGUGUAGGCUGGUUUUCCAGGCAAAUCCGGAAAAUCAAGGCUGAGGCGUGAUGACGAGGCACUACGGUGCUGAAGCAACAAAUGCCCUGCUUCCAGGAAAAGCCUCUAAGCAUCAGGUAACAUCAAAUCGUACCCCAAACCGACACAGGUGGUCAGGUAGAGAAUACCAAGGCGCUUGAGAGAACUCGGGUGAAGGAACUAGGCAAAAUGGUGCCGUAACUUCGGGAGAAGGCACGCUGAUAUGUAGGUGAAG